CGCACCUUGCGCUCCUUGGUAUUCCGAGGAGCAUGCCUGUUUGAGUGUCAUUAAAUUCUCAACCUCUCUAGUUUUAUUGACUAGUAGAUGGCUUGGAUUUGGGAGUAUUUUUUGCAGGCUUUCACAAGUCAGCUCUCCUUAAAUGUAUUAGCCGGUGUCUUCUAACCGUCUAUUGAUGUGAUAAUUAUCUACGUCGUGGACUAUUAGAUUUUGCGCUGCUUAUAACCGUCCUAUGGACAAUUUAUGACAUUUUGACCUCAAAUCAGGUAGGACUACCCGCUGAACUUAA
RNAcentral lists this unclassified non-coding RNA (289 nucleotides) under Strophariaceae sp. Its description in RNAcentral is "partial contains 5.8S ribosomal RNA, internal transcribed spacer 2, and large subunit ribosomal RNA". Lineage: Eukaryota; Fungi; Basidiomycota; Agaricomycetes; Agaricales; Strophariaceae. The record is from RNAcentral.